Molecule: ribosomal RNA, 1233 nt
Filed under: metagenome
Description: bacterial LSU rRNA
Rfam family: Bacterial large subunit ribosomal RNA
Source: RNAcentral
AUGAGGAGAGAAUCCUAAGGCCGACGGGAGAAGCAUUGUUAAGGAACUCGGCAAAAUGACCCCGUAACUUCGGGAGAAGGGGUGCCCACGCGAGUGGGCCGCAGAGAAUAGGCUCAAGCAACUGUUUAGCAAAAACACAGGUCUAUGCGAAACCGAAAGGUGAGGUAUAUGGGCUGACGCCUGCCCGGUGCUGGAAGGUUAAGAGGAGGAGUCAGGCAACGAAGCUCCGAAUUUAAGCCCCAGUAAACGGCGGCCGUAACUAUAACGGUCCUAAGGUAGCGAAAUUCCUUGUCGGGUAAGUUCCGACCCGCACGAAAGGCGUAAUGAUUUGAGCACUGUCUCGACAAUGCACCCGGUGAAAUUGAAGUACCAGUGAAGAUGCUGGUUACCUGCGCCAGGACGGAAAGACCCCAUGGAGCUUUACUCCAGUUUGAUACUGGGAUUCGAUACUGAAUGUACAGGAUAGGUGGGAGGCUGAGAAGCGUGGACGCCAGUCUGCGGUGAGCCGCUGUUGGGAUACCACCCUUUGAGUAUUGGAUUUCUAACCUGCGCCCGUGACCCGGGCGGGGGACAAUGUCUGACGGGGAGUUUGACUGGGGCGGUCGCCUCCGAAAGGGUAUCGGAGGCGCUCAAAGGUUCCCUCAGAAUGGUUGGAAACCAUUCGCAGAGUGCAAAGGCAGAAGGGAGCUUGACUGUGACACCGACGGGUGGAGCAGGUACAAAAGUAGGACUUAGUGAUCCGGUGGUAUGAAAGUGGGAUUGCCAUCGCUCAACGGAUAAAAGCUACCCUGGGAUAACAGGCUUAUCACUCCCAAGAGUUCACAUCGACGGAGUGGUUUGGCACCUCGAUGUCGACUCAUCGCAUCCUGGGGCUGUAGCAGGUCCCAAGGGUUGGGCUGUUCGCCCAUUAAAGCGGUACGCGAGCUGGGUUCAGAACGUCGUGAGACAGUUCGGUCCCUAUCCGGCGCAGGCGUAGGAUAUUUGAGAGGAGCUGUCCUUAGUACGAGAGGACCGGGAUGGACAGACCGCUGGUGUAUCUGUUGGUGACCAACACCAUGGCAGAGUAGCCAAGUCUGGCAGGGAUAAACGCUGAAGGCAUCUAAGCGUGAAGCCCCCCUCAAGAUGAGAUAUCCCAAUAAGUAAGACCCCUUAGAGAGUAUGAGGUAGAUAGGCUUAAGGUGUAAGCAUAGUAAUAUGUUCAGCUGAUAAGUACUAAUAGGUCGAGGGCUUACC